CGAACCGUGAAAGCGUGG
RNAcentral lists this small nuclear RNA (18 nucleotides) under Arabidopsis thaliana (thale cress). RNAcentral describes it as "snRNA_18122". The record is from RNAcentral. Lineage: Eukaryota; Viridiplantae; Streptophyta; Magnoliopsida; Brassicales; Brassicaceae.